UACGGAGGGUGCAAGCGUUGUCCGGAUUCACUGGGUAUAAAGGGUGCGUAGGCGGUCUUGUGCGUCAGAGGUGAAAUAUCCGGGCUCAACCCGGAGGGUGCCUUUGAUACGGCAGGACUUGAGUGCGAGAGAGGAUGAUGGAAUUCCUGGUGUAGCGGUGAAAUGCGUAGAUAUCAGGAGGAACACCGGUGGCGAAGGCGGUCAUCUGGCUCGCAACUGACGCUGAGGCACGAAAGCGUGGGGAUCAAACAGG
RNAcentral lists this ribosomal RNA (253 nucleotides) under uncultured bacterium. RNAcentral's name for it is "partial 16S ribosomal RNA". It matches the Rfam family "Bacterial small subunit ribosomal RNA", at positions 524 to 776 of the family's 1533-position model. The record is from RNAcentral.